GAUGAACGCUGGCGGCGUGCCUAAUACAUGCAAGUCGAGCGAACGGACGAGAAGCUUGCUUCUCUGAUGUUAGCGGCGGACGGGUGAGUAACACGUGGAUAACCUACCUAUAAGACUGGGAUAACUUCGGGAAACCGGAGCUAAUACCGGAUAAUAUUUUGAACCGCAUGGUUCAAAAGUGAAAGACGGUCUUGCUGUCACUUAUAGAUGGAUCCGCGCUGCAUUAGCUAGUUGGUAAGGUAACGGCUUACCAAGGCAACGAUGCAUAGCCGACCUGAGAGGGUGAUCGGCCACACUGGAACUGAGACACGGUCUAGACUCCUACGGGAGGCAGCAGUAGGGAAUCUUCCGCAAUGGGCGAAAGCCUGACGGAGCAACGCCGCGUGAGUGAUGAAGGUCUUCGGAUCGUAAAACUCUGUUAUUAGGGAAGAACAUAUGUGUAAGUAACUGUGCACAUCUAGACGGUACCUAAUCAGAAAGCCACGGCUAACUACGUG
Molecule: ribosomal RNA, 497 nt
Filed under: uncultured bacterium
Lineage: Bacteria
Description: partial 16S ribosomal RNA
Rfam family: Bacterial small subunit ribosomal RNA
Source: RNAcentral